AUUGAACGCUGGCGGCAGGCCUAACACAUGCAGGUCGAGCGGAUGAAGGGAGCUUGCUCCUGGAUUCAGCGGCGGACGGGUGAGUAAUGCCUAGGAAUCUGCCUGGUAGUGGGGGAUAACGUCCGGAAACGGGCGCUAAUACCGCAUACGGCCUGAGGGAGAAAGUGGGGGAUCUUCGGAACUCACGCUAUCAGAUGAGCCUAGGGCGGAUUAGCUAGUUGGUGGGGUAAAGGCCUACCAAGGCGGGGGUCCGGGACUGGUCUGAGAGGGUGAUGAGGCAGACCGGAACUGAGAGACGGCCCAGAGUCCUCCGGGAGGCAGCAGUGGGGACUAUUGGACGAUGGGGGAAAGACUAAUGCAGAAAUGCCGCGUGUGUGAAGCAGGUCUUCGGAUUGUAAAACACAUUAAGUUGGGAGGAAGAGCAGUAAGUUAAUACCUUGAUGAUUUGACGUUACCAACAGAAUAAGCAACGGCUAACUACGUG
Molecule: ribosomal RNA, 484 nt
Filed under: uncultured bacterium
Lineage: Bacteria
Description: partial 16S ribosomal RNA
Rfam family: Bacterial small subunit ribosomal RNA
Source: RNAcentral